This 483-nucleotide ribosomal RNA is filed under the name Paenibacillus alvei. RNAcentral describes it as "bacterial SSU rRNA". It matches the Rfam family "Bacterial small subunit ribosomal RNA", at positions 55 to 517 of the family's 1533-position model. The record is from RNAcentral. Lineage: Bacteria; Bacillati; Bacillota; Bacilli; Caryophanales; Paenibacillaceae.
AUGCAAGUCGAGCGGACUUGAUGGAGUGCUUGCACUCCUGAUGGUUAGCGGCGGACGGGUGAGUAACACGUAGGUAACCUGCCCAUAAGACUGGGAUAACCCGCGGAAACGUGAGCUAAUACCAGAUAGGCAUUUCCCUCGCAUGAGGGGAAUGAGAAAGGCGGAGCAAUCUGUCACUUAUGGAUGGACCUGCGGCGCAUUAGCUAGUUGGUGAGGUAACGGCUCACCAAGGCGACGAUGCGUAGCCGACCUGAGAGGGUGAUCGGCCACACUGGGACUGAGACACGGCCCAGACUCCUACGGGAGGCAGCAGUAGGGAAUCUUCCGCAAUGGACGAAAGUCUGACGGAGCAACGCCGCGUGAGUGAUGAAGGUUUUCGGAUCGUAAAGCUCUGUUGCCAGGGAAGAACGCCUAGGAGAGUAACUGCUCCUAGGGUGACGGUACCUGAGAAGAAAGCCCCGGCUAACUACGUGCCAGCAGCCG